RNAcentral lists this ribosomal RNA (501 nucleotides) under uncultured bacterium. Its description in RNAcentral is "partial 16S ribosomal RNA". It matches the Rfam family "Bacterial small subunit ribosomal RNA", at positions 899 to 1397 of the family's 1533-position model. The record is from RNAcentral.
ACUCAAAGGAAUUGACGGGGGCCCGCACAAGCGGUGGAGCAUGUGGAUUAAUACGUCACUAACCGUAGAACCUUACCCAGGCUUGACAUCCCCGGAACCUUCCUGAAAGGGAGGGGUGCCCCGCAAGGGGAGCCGGGAGACAGGUGUUGCAUGGCUGUCGUCAGCUCGUGUCGUGAGAUGUUGGGUUAAGUCCCGCAACGAGCGCAACCCUCACCGUCUGUUGCCAGCGUCAAGUCGGGCACUCUGACGGAACUGCCCGGGUAACCGGGAGGAAGGUGGGGACGACGUCAAGUCAGCAUGGCCCGUACGCCUGGGGCUUCACACAUGCUACAAUGGCCGGUACAGAGGGUCCCGAGCCCGCGAGGGGGAGGCAAUCCCAAAAAGCCGGUCUCAGUUCGGAUCGCAGGCUGCAACUCGCCUGCGUGAAGUCGGAAUCGCUAGUAACCGCCGAUCAGCUAAGCGGCGGUGAAUCCGUUCCCGGGCCUUGCACACACCGCCCGU